GCUCAUUUUGGUGGUUUUAAUUCUGCACUUUUGGAAGCUGGGAAGUCUGUGUGGGUUAUGAAUGUGGUGCCAACAACUGGACCUAACUACCUACCCUUGAUUCUUGACAGGGGCUUUGUUGGUGUAUUACAUGACUGGUGUGAAGCAUUCCCAACAUACCCAAGAACUUAUGAUUUAGUGCAUGCAGCUGGACUUCUAUCCCUUGAAUCUGGUCAGCAGCGUAGGUGCACCAUGCUGGACAUAUUCACUGAGGUUGAUCGAGUACUUCGCCCAGAGGGUUGGGUGAUAAUACAUGACGCGGCUCCACUCAUUGAAUUAGCUAGAGCUCUAACAACACGGCUAAAGUGGGAUGCACGAGUUGUAGACAUAGAAAGCAACAGUGACGAGAGGAUCCUUAUCUGCCAGAAACCUUUCUUCAAGAGGCAAGCAAGCUGAUUAUGAGUUUCUGAAAAAGGAGACCGAGAAGUUAGAUCAUACUAUUGGUAUUGGUUUUGCAAUGUUAUUAACGAUUAUAAAGCUCCAUCAUAGAAUGGAGGAAUCAAAAAUUUUGAACAGAAAGAAGAAAGCAGAAAACAGAGAAGAGGAAUCAAACGAUCUUUGGUGGAUCCAACCACAAAUCCUUUGAAGCCGUAAGGUUUACAUAGGGCCAUGUAAAAAUUAUUCAGUUGAGGUGCCAAGCUAACGACAAGUAUAGAAUCACAUUUAAUUUAAUUAUCCAUUUUCCAUGCAUUGUCAAAUUACAACUACACAACCACAUGAGUAAGAUUGUGAUUUGUGAAGAUGAUUGCAGAAUAAGCACAUUGAUGUAUUAUAUAAAUGCUUGGCAGUUCUUUUAUGUGAGGGAAUAUUUUAUUUAUAAUUUCUUUUUUUUUUUUUUUUGAAAA
RNAcentral lists this unclassified non-coding RNA (884 nucleotides) under Hevea brasiliensis (rubber tree). Lineage: Eukaryota; Viridiplantae; Streptophyta; Magnoliopsida; Malpighiales; Euphorbiaceae. The record is from RNAcentral.